RNAcentral lists this ribosomal RNA (254 nucleotides) under uncultured bacterium. RNAcentral's name for it is "partial 16S ribosomal RNA". It matches the Rfam family "Bacterial small subunit ribosomal RNA", at positions 524 to 776 of the family's 1533-position model. The record is from RNAcentral.
UACGAAGGGGGCUAGCGUUGCUCGGAAUGACUGGGCGUAAAGGGCGCGUAGGCGGUUUGUACAGUCAGGUGUGAAAUUCCCGGGCUCAACCUGGGGGCGGCACUUGAGACGUAGGAACUGGAGUGAGGAAGAGGGUCGUGGAAUUCCCAGUGUAGAGGUGAAAUUCGUAGAUAUUGGGAAGAACACCGGUGGCGAAGGCGGCGACCUGGUCCUUUUACUGACGCUGAGGCGCGAAAGCUAGGGGAGCAAACGGG